CGGACGGGUGAGUAAUGUCUGGGAAACUGCCCGAUGGAGGGGGAUAACUACUGGAAACGGUAGCUAAUACCGCAUAACGUUGCAAGACCAAAGAGGGGGACCUUCGGGCCUCUUGCCAUCGGAUGUGCCCAGAUGGGAUUAGCUAGUAGGUGGGGUAACGGCUCACCUAGGCGACGAUCCCUAGCUGGUCUGAGAGGAUGACCAGCCACACUGGAACUGAGACACGGUCCAG
Molecule: ribosomal RNA, 232 nt
Filed under: uncultured bacterium
Lineage: Bacteria
Description: partial 16S ribosomal RNA
Rfam family: Bacterial small subunit ribosomal RNA
Source: RNAcentral